Molecule: non-coding RNA, 30 nt
Filed under: Mus musculus (house mouse)
Lineage: Eukaryota; Metazoa; Chordata; Mammalia; Rodentia; Muridae
Also listed under: 1 other name
Source: RNAcentral
UGAACAGUUUAAGGGACCAUACUCCCUAGA